GACGAACGCUGGCGGCGUGCUUAACACAUGCAAGUCGAACGAUGAAGCCUAGCUUGCUAGGUGGAUUAGUGGCGAACGGGUGAGUAAUACGUGAGUAACCUACCUUUAACUCUGGGAUAAGCCUGGGAAACUGGGUCUAAUACCGGAUACGACCAAUCUCCGCAUGGGGUGUUGGUGGAAAGCGUUAUGUAGUGGUUAUAGAUGGGCUCACGGCCUAUCAGCUUGUUGGUGAGGUAACGGCUCACCAAGGCGACGACGGGUAGCCGGCCUGAGAGGGUGACCGGCCACACUGGGACUGAGACACGGCCCAGACUCCUACGGGAGGCAGCAGUGGGGAAUAUUGCACAAUGGGCGCAAGCCUGAUGCAGCGACGCCGCGUGAGGGAUGACGGCCUUCGGGUUGUAAACCUCUGUUAGCAGGGAAGAAGAGAGAUUGACGGUACCUGCAGAGAAAGCGCCGGCUAACUACGUGCCAGCAGCCGCGGUAAUACGUAGGGCGCGAGCGUUGUCCGGAAUUAUUGGGCGUAAAGAGCUUGUAGGCGGUUUGUCGCGUCUGCUGUGAAGGCCGGAGCUUAACUCCGUGUAUUGCAGUGGGUACGGGCAGACUAGAGUGCAGUAGGGGAGACUGGAAUUCCUGGUGUAGCGGCGGAAUGCGCAGAUAUCAGGAGGAACACCGAUGGCGAAGGCAGGUCUCUGGGCUGUAACUGACGCUGAGAAGCGAAAGCAUGGGGAGCGAACAGGAUUAGAUACCCUGGUAGUCCAUGCCGUAAACGUUGGGCACUAGGUGUGGGGAACAUUCCACGUUUUCCGCGCCGUAGCUAACGCAUUAAGUGCCCCGCCUGGGGAGUACGGCCGCAAGGCUAAAACUCAAAGAAAUUGACGGGGGCCCGCACAAGCGGCGGAGCAUGCGGAUUAAUUCGAUGCAACGCGAAGAACCUUACCAAGGCUUGACAUAUACUGGACCGCAUCAGAGAUGGUGUUUCCCUUCGGGGCUGGUAUACAGGUGGUGCAUGGUUGUCGUCAGCUCGUGUCGUGAGAUGUUGGGUUAAGUCCCGCAACGAGCGCAACCCUCGUUCUAUGUUGCCAGCACGUUAUGGUGGGGACUCAUAGGAGACUGCCGGGGUCAACUCGGAGGAAGGUGGGGAUGACGUCAAAUCAUCAUGCCCCUUAUGUCUUGGGCUUCACGCAUGCUACAAUGGCCGGUACAGAGGGUUGCGAUACUGUGAGGUGGAGCUAAUCCCUAAAAGCCGGUCUCAGUUCGGAUUGGGGUCUGCAACUCGACCCCAUGAAGUCGGUGUCGCUAGUAAUCGCAGAUCAGCAACGCUGCGGUGAAUACGUUCCCGGGCCU
Molecule: ribosomal RNA, 1347 nt
Filed under: uncultured bacterium
Lineage: Bacteria
Description: bacterial SSU rRNA
Rfam family: Bacterial small subunit ribosomal RNA
Source: RNAcentral